This 285-nucleotide unclassified non-coding RNA is filed under the name Hevea brasiliensis (rubber tree). Lineage: Eukaryota; Viridiplantae; Streptophyta; Magnoliopsida; Malpighiales; Euphorbiaceae. The record is from RNAcentral.
AAUGGUCAGAGUCCAUUACAAGGUAAUCAACAAAAAAUAUAUAUAUAUAUAUCAUGGAAUCUUAAUGCCAUCAUUAAUAUAAAAAAUGCCAAACAGUGUAGAUGCAAAGUCACUUUUAAGUUUCUGAGAAAAAUAUUGAAUUAGCACAUAAGAUCUGGUGCCUAACACAUGCAUGGGUCCCAUCCCCAACACAAUUUCUUGUUUGUUUUGUGACUUUAUUUUUGAUAAUACAGUUUUAAAUUGUUGAUGUUAAAUAACUUACCUGAUCCCAACACUUAAGGGAGA